This is a long non-coding RNA of Chelonus insularis, 373 nucleotides long. RefSeq lists it as uncharacterized. The record is from RefSeq and is a predicted model, not a curated record. The transcript has 3 exons. Lineage: Eukaryota; Metazoa; Arthropoda; Insecta; Hymenoptera; Braconidae.
UCAUCGAAAUUCUUUCAUGGAUAUUCGAGACCCUGGAAAUUAUCAGGUACAGGUUCAAGUGCAUCCACCUCCCAGUCACACUGCAGCUUAUCAGAUUAGAUAUUCCCUGAAGAAUAGAGACCAUGGAGACUAUAAUUUGCACAGUCAAAUGCAUUCACUUACGAUUUCAUCUCAUCAAAUACGACCAUCAGAUGAAAACUAUGGAUCAAACAAUCUACAAAGCUACAUGACAUACGGAAUGAAAUGCAUGACACUAGAUCACGCCAUACUACACCUCCAGAAGAAUUACCUUUGGAAACCGAGAAAGAAUUUGAUAAAUUUCAUGAAAGCCUUUCUGGACAACAGGAGAGACAUUUGGUAAAAUAUAGUUGUG